AUUCAGCUGAUGAGCCCAAAAUAGGACGAAACGCGCCUUGUCAUGAAU
This 48-nucleotide non-coding RNA is filed under the name Schistosoma mansoni. Lineage: Eukaryota; Metazoa; Platyhelminthes; Trematoda; Strigeidida; Schistosomatidae. The record is from RNAcentral.